RNAcentral lists this ribosomal RNA (434 nucleotides) under uncultured Clostridium sp. Its description in RNAcentral is "partial 16S ribosomal RNA". It matches the Rfam family "Bacterial small subunit ribosomal RNA", at positions 341 to 792 of the family's 1533-position model. The record is from RNAcentral. Lineage: Bacteria; Bacillati; Bacillota; Clostridia; Eubacteriales; Clostridiaceae.
ACGGGAGGCAGCAGUGGGGAAUAUUGCACAAUGGGGGAAACCCUGAUGCAGCGACGCCGCGUGAGUGAAGAAGUAUUUCGGUAUGUAAAGCUCUAUCAGCAGGAAAGAAAAUGACGGUACCUGACUAAGAAGCCCCGGCUAACUACGUGCCAGCAGCCGCGGUACUACGUAGGGGGCAAGCGUUAUCCGGAUUUACUGGGUGUAAAGGGAGCGUAGACGGUAAGGCAAGUCUGAAGUGAAAUGCCAGGGCUCAACCCUGGAACUGCUUUGGAAACUGUCCUACUAGAGUGCAGGAGAGGUAAGUGGAAUUCCUAGUGUAGCGGUGAAAUGCGUAGAUAUUAGGAGGAACACCAGUGGCGAAGGCGGCUUACUGGACUGUAACUGACGUUGAGGCUCGAAAGCGUGGGGAGCAAACAGGAUUAGAUACCCUGGUA